GCCAAGGUAGCUCAGUUGGUAGAGCUCACGACUGAAAAUCGUGCGGUCCCCGGUUCGAGCCCGGGCCUUGGCACCA
This 76-nucleotide transfer RNA is filed under the name Thermomicrobiales bacterium. Its description in RNAcentral is "tRNA-Phe". It matches the Rfam family "tRNA". From Rfam's summary of the family: Transfer RNA (tRNA) molecules are approximately 80 nucleotides in length. Their secondary structure includes four short double-helical elements and three loops (D, anti-codon, and T loops). Further hydrogen bonds mediate the characteristic L-shaped molecular structure. tRNAs have two regions of fundamental functional importance: the anti-codon, which is responsible for specific mRNA codon recognition, and the 3' end, to which the tRNAs corresponding amino acid is attached (by aminoacyl-tRNA synthetases). tRNAs cope with the degeneracy of the genetic code in two manners: having more than one tRNA (with a specific anti-codon) for a particular amino acid; and 'wobble' base-pairing, i.e. permitting non-standard base-pairing at the 3rd anti-codon position. Lineage: Bacteria; Pseudomonadati; Thermomicrobiota; Thermomicrobia; Thermomicrobiales. The record is from RNAcentral.